AGUGAGCGCUGGCGGUAGGCCUAACACAUGCAAGUCGAACGGCAGCACAGUAAGAGCUUGCUCUUACGGGUGGCGAGUGGCGGACGGGUGAGGAAUACAUCGGAAUCUACUUUUUCGUGGGGGAUAACGUAGGGAAACUUACGCUAAUACCGCAUACGACCUACGGGUGAAAGCAGGGGAUCUUCGGACCUUGCGCGAUUGAAUGAGCCGAUGUCGGAUUAGCUAGUUGGCGGGGUAAAGGCCCACCAAGGCGACGAUCCGUAGCUGGUCUGAGAGGAUGAUCAGCCACACUGGAACUGAGACACGGUCCAGACUCCUACGGGAGGCAGCAGUGGGGAAUAUUGGACAAUGGGCGCAAGCCUGAUCCAGCCAUACCGCGUGGGUGAAGAAGGCCUUCGGGUCGUAAAGCCCUUUUGUUGGGAAAGAAAAGCAGCAGGUUAAUACCCCGCUGUUCUGACGGUACCCAAAGAAUAAGCACCGGCUAACUUCGUG
This 492-nucleotide ribosomal RNA is filed under the name uncultured bacterium. Its description in RNAcentral is "partial 16S ribosomal RNA". It matches the Rfam family "Bacterial small subunit ribosomal RNA", at positions 29 to 507 of the family's 1533-position model. The record is from RNAcentral.